This 468-nucleotide ribosomal RNA is filed under the name uncultured bacterium. Its description in RNAcentral is "partial 16S ribosomal RNA". It matches the Rfam family "Bacterial small subunit ribosomal RNA", at positions 28 to 507 of the family's 1533-position model. The record is from RNAcentral.
GACGAACGCUGGCGGCGUGCUUAACACAUGCAAGUCGAACGGAAAGGCCCUGCUUUUGUGGGGUGCUCGAGUGGCGAACGGGUGAGUAACACGUGAGUAACCUGCCCUUGACUUUGGGAUAACUUCAGGAAACUGGGGCUAAUACCGGAUAGGAGCUCCUGCUGCAUGGUGGGGGUUGGAAAGUUUCGGCGGUUGGGGAUGGACUCGCGGCUUAUCAGCUUGUUGGUGGGGUAGUGGCUUACCAAGGCUUUGACGGAUAGCCGGCCUGAGAGGGUGACCGGCCACAUUGGGACUGAGAUACGGCCCAGACUGCAACGGGAGGCAGCAGUGGGGAAUAUGGCACAAUGGGCGGGAGCCUGAUGCAGCAACGCCGCGUGCGGGAUGACGGCCUUCGGGUUAUAAACCGCUUUGGCCUGUGACGAAGCGUGAGUGACGGUAAUGAGUAAAGAAGCACCGGCUAACUACGUG